Molecule: ribosomal RNA, 588 nt
Filed under: uncultured Ralstonia sp.
Lineage: Bacteria; Pseudomonadati; Pseudomonadota; Betaproteobacteria; Burkholderiales; Burkholderiaceae
Description: bacterial SSU rRNA
Rfam family: Bacterial small subunit ribosomal RNA
Source: RNAcentral
GAUCUAGCUUGCUAGAUUGAUGGCGAGUGGCGAACGGGUGAGUAAUACAUCGGAACGUGCCCUGUAGUGGGGGAUAACUAGUCGAAAGAUUAGCUAAUACCGCAUACGACCUGAGGGUGAAAGUGGGGGACCGCAAGGCCUCAUGCUAUAGGAGCGGCCGAUGUCUGAUUAGCUAGUUGGUGAGGUAAAGGCUCACCAAGGCGACGAUCAGUAGCUGGUCUGAGAGGACGAUCAGCCACACUGGGACUGAGACACGGCCCAGACUCCUACGGGAGGCAGCAGUGGGGAAUUUUGGACAAUGGGCGAAAGCCUGAUCCAGCAAUGCCGCGUGUGUGAAGAAGGCCUUCGGGUUGUAAAGCACUUUUGUCCGGAAAGAAAUGGCUCUGGUUAAUACCUGGGGUCGAUGACGGUACCGGAAGAAUAAGGACCGGCUAACUACGUGCCAGCAGCCGCGGUAAUACGUAGGGUCCAAGCGUUAAUCGGAAUUACUGGGCGUAAAGCGUGCGCAGGCGGUUGUGCAAGACCGAUGUGAAAUCCCCGAGCUUAACUUGGGAAUUGCAUUGGUGACUGCACGGCUAGAGUGUGUCA